GAUGAACGCUGGCGGCGUGCCUAAUACAUGCAAGUCGAGCGAACAGACGAGGAGCUUGCUCCUCUGACGUUAGCGGCGGACGGGUGAGUAACACGUGGAUAACCUACCUAUAAGACUGGGAUAACUUCGGGAAACCGGAGCUAAUACCGGAUAAUAUAUUGAACCGCAUGGUUCAAUAGUGAAAGACGGUUUUGCUGUCACUUAUAGAUGGAUCCGCGCCGCAUUAGCUAGUUGGUAAGGUAACGGCUUACCAAGGCAACGAUGCGUAGCCGACCUGAGAGGGUGAUCGGCCACACUGGAACUGAGACACGGUCCAGACUCCUACGGGAGGCAGCAGUAGGGAAUCUUCCGCAAUGGGCGAAAGCCUGACGGAGCAACGCCGCGUGAGUGAUGAAGGUCUGCGGAUCGUAAAACUCUGUUAUUAGGGAAGAACAAAUGUGUAAGUAACGAUGCACGUCUGGACGGUACCUAAGCAGAAAGCCACGGCUAACUACGG
This 496-nucleotide ribosomal RNA is filed under the name uncultured bacterium. RNAcentral describes it as "partial 16S ribosomal RNA". It matches the Rfam family "Bacterial small subunit ribosomal RNA", at positions 28 to 506 of the family's 1533-position model. The record is from RNAcentral.